Molecule: small nuclear RNA, 98 nt
Filed under: Ornithorhynchus anatinus (platypus)
Lineage: Eukaryota; Metazoa; Chordata; Mammalia; Monotremata; Ornithorhynchidae
Source: RNAcentral
GUGAAUCAGCACACAUAAUAAAACUGGAAUGAUGUAUAAAAGAUUAGCAUGGCCCUCACACAAGUAUGACAUGCGAAUCCAUGGUGUUGCAUAUUUUU